CAAGCCACUUCCUUUCUUUUCACGACCCCACUCAAGCUCAAACUGUGAGCGUGGUCUUCGCUAUAUGUCUUCAUUAAGGUUAAUAAAGGCUUUCCAGGACGAUGGCGCUUGGCUUCCACGAUGCUUGCUGAGCUGCUGAGCAAACCACAACAUGGUAAACGCAGUGGCUGAGGGAAGGAUGAAGACAAUCCGCCAGUGUCAAAGCACACAGAUUGAGACAUUAGGAGUGACAUUCCCUUCAUGCAUUCGCUUGUGGUAGCUGCUCCACUUUUCUAAUCCUGAUCUAAUUAAAGACCUCAUCCUCGCCACCUCGUUUUCAAAAGUCGCUCCCUUCAAUUACCGAUGACAAGUGAGCGCCCGACACACACAUUAACCUCCUACGUGAAGAGCUACUUUGGCUGCCCACAUCUCUCCCUUGUGAUAACACAAAGCCAGCCCUUUCAGAAGGCAGUUCCCAGAGUA
Molecule: long non-coding RNA, 462 nt
Organism: Nerophis lumbriciformis (worm pipefish)
Lineage: Eukaryota; Metazoa; Chordata; Actinopteri; Syngnathiformes; Syngnathidae
Source: RefSeq, a predicted model, not a curated record